GAAUAUUGGACAAUGGGGGGAACCCUGAUCCAGCCAUCCCGCGUGUGUGAAGAAGGCCUUUUGUUUGUAAAGCACUUUAAGCGAGGAGGAGGCUACGCUAGUUAAUACCUAGGGAUAGCGCACUUUACUCGCAGAACAAGCACCAGCUAACUCUUGCCCGGCAGCCGCGGUAAUACAGAGGGUGCAAGCGUUUAUCGGAUUUACUGGGCGUAAAGCGCGCGUAGGUGGGCGAUUAAGUCAAAUGUGAAAUCCCCGAGCUUAACUUGGGAAUUGCAUUCGAUACUGGUUGGCUAGAGUAUGGGAGAGGAUGGUAGAAUUCAAGGUGUAGCGGUGAAAUGCGUAGAGAUCUGGAGGAAUACCGAUGGCGAAGGCAGCCAUCUGGCCUAAUACUGACACUGAGGUGCGAAAGCAUGGGGAGCAAAC
RNAcentral lists this ribosomal RNA (423 nucleotides) under uncultured bacterium. Its description in RNAcentral is "partial 16S ribosomal RNA". It matches the Rfam family "Bacterial small subunit ribosomal RNA", at positions 359 to 773 of the family's 1533-position model. The record is from RNAcentral.